AUGUUCACCUCCGACCGCCUCAAUGAACUUCACAUCAAAGACCACGUACCCGUCAUCCUCGACCUCGACUCGCCAUCCUACAACGCAUGGCGCACCUACUUCGCGCUGCUCUUCCACUCUUACCGUCUCAUCGAGCAUGUUGACGGGAGCGUCGACUUCCACGACAUGAAGGACGACGACGAGUGGCUUGCUGUGGACGCCUGCAUCGUCAAGUGGCUCUUCCUCACCAUCUCCGGCGGCCUCUUCAACAUGGUGAACUCCCGCGACCCGUCGGCGUACGCUAUGUGGACGCGGCUGUGUGACCUCUUCCCCGACAAUCAACUCCAACGCCGCGUCUUCCUUCAAGGGGAGUUCUUCACUAUGCAGCAAAACGAUCUUUCGAUCGAUGAGUAUUGCACGCGGCUGAAGGUUCUUGCCGACGAGCUGCGCGAUGUCGGCAUGAACAUCGACGACUCUGUCCUCCUCACCAACCUCCUUCGCGGCCUCCACCCCGACCUUGGCCAGUCCGCCGCCAACCUCUCCCUCGUCAUGCCGACGUACGCGAAGACAGUCACGUACCUUUGCAUGGAGGAGAAGCGCCUCCAUCACUCCGCCCGGCAGGUGACCCACGCCACACUUCACGUCGGCCUCGCCGCUGGCCACAGCGCUCUUUCAGCCCCGCCAGCGCCGCGCGCGCCUACUCCCACCCCACAACCCGCGCCCGCGCCCUCUGGUGGCCGCAAGCAGAAGGGUGGCGGGGGUCGGGGCUGCAACGCCAACACGGCGCAGCGCCCUCCCGCGACCAACGCGGCUGCUCCCCCUCUGCCGUGGCUCUCGGGGUACAAUCCUUUCUACACAUAG
This 840-nucleotide ribosomal RNA is filed under the name Triticum aestivum (bread wheat). Its description in RNAcentral is "partial small subunit ribosomal RNA". The record is from RNAcentral. Lineage: Eukaryota; Viridiplantae; Streptophyta; Magnoliopsida; Poales; Poaceae.